GGGGUCGUUACGGAUUCGACAGGCAUUAUGAGGCAUAUUUUGCGACUCGUGUGGCGACGUAAACGCUCAGUUAAAUAUAACUGCAAAAAAUAACACUUCUUACGCUCUAGCUGCUUAAAAACCAGCAGGCGUGACCCGAUUUGGAUUGCUCGUGUUCAAUGACAGGUCUUAUUAUUAGCGAGAUACGAUUAAGUCUUAUCUAGCGGCUUGAUAAGAGAUUGAUAGACUCGCAGUUUCUAGACUUGAGUUAUGUGUCGAGGGGCUGUUAAAAUAAUACAUAACCUAUGGUUGUAGACAAAUAUGUUGGCAGGUGUUUGGACGUGGGUUCGACUCCCACCGGCUCCA
This 345-nucleotide transfer-messenger RNA is filed under the name Streptococcus pneumoniae. RNAcentral describes it as "transfer-messenger RNA, SsrA". It matches the Rfam family "transfer-messenger RNA". From Rfam's summary of the family: Bacterial tmRNA, also known as 10Sa RNA or SsrA, is named for its dual tRNA and mRNA-like properties. Its role is to liberate the mRNA from a stalled ribosome. To accomplish this part of the tmRNA is used as a reading frame that ends in a translation stop signal. Lineage: Bacteria; Bacillati; Bacillota; Bacilli; Lactobacillales; Streptococcaceae. The record is from RNAcentral.